UACGUAGGGUGCGAGCGUUAAUCGGAAUUACUGGGCGUAAAGCGUGCGCAGGCGGUUUUGUAAGCCAGAUGUGAAAUCCCCGGGCUUAACCUGGGAAUGGCAUUUGGGACUGCAAGGCUGGAGUGUGGCAGAGGAGACUGGAAUUCCUGGUGUAGCGGUGAAAUGCGUAGAUAUCAGGAGGAACACCUGCGGUGUAGACAGCUUUCUGGACCACUUCUGACGCUGAGACACGAAAGCGUGGGUAGCAAACAGG
Molecule: ribosomal RNA, 253 nt
Filed under: uncultured bacterium
Lineage: Bacteria
Description: partial 16S ribosomal RNA
Rfam family: Bacterial small subunit ribosomal RNA
Source: RNAcentral